Molecule: non-coding RNA, 65 nt
Organism: Dipodomys ordii (Ord's kangaroo rat)
Lineage: Eukaryota; Metazoa; Chordata; Mammalia; Rodentia; Heteromyidae
Source: Rfam
GGUGGCUCAAGGGUAGAGUGUUUGCCUUGCAUGCAUGAGGCCCUGGGUUCAAUUCCUCAGCACCA